This 236-nucleotide long non-coding RNA is filed under the name Elaeis guineensis (African oil palm). Its description in RNAcentral is "long non-coding RNA (EGUI_LNC061115)". The record is from RNAcentral. Lineage: Eukaryota; Viridiplantae; Streptophyta; Magnoliopsida; Arecales; Arecaceae.
GAUCGACUAAGUUGUAAAGAAUAGAAAGUAUAUCAGAAGAUCUAUGGUGGAGCAUAGGUUGGUCGAUCUAGUUUUAUACUAAGUCGACUCAGUCUCAGGACGAGUCGGCUAAGUCUGCGAAAAAUAACAAACCAAGAUUUUAAAAUCUGGAUGUUUUAUCUAAUUUAAAAAAAUAUUUGGGGAAGAUGACUGAGCAGCUUCAUGAGAUAAAUAAAAGGUUAGAAAAUCAAGAUACU